This 376-nucleotide long non-coding RNA is filed under the name Nicotiana benthamiana. RNAcentral's name for it is "long non-coding RNA (NBEN_LNC021506)". The record is from RNAcentral. Lineage: Eukaryota; Viridiplantae; Streptophyta; Magnoliopsida; Solanales; Solanaceae.
GGCAAUCCUCACCUCAUAAGCUAGCUUUUGGGGUUGAGUUAGGCCCAAGGUCCAUUCUUAUCAUGGUAUCAGAGCCUAGACGACGAUCCGACUAUGUUUUUCUGCAUCUCGUUGUUUGGUUGAAGUCUCUUUUGAGAUUUUUUGGGGGUGUUUCUGAGGCCUUAUGGUCGAUGACGAUUCCGAUCUAAAUCGGAUACUUUUCUGAGACUUUCUUCGUGAUAUCUGAGUAUAUCUUCUCCACUCGAACGUUCUGGGAGGUUUUACGAUGAUUUUUGGGUGAUUUUUCGGUGACCUGUCGGCUUCUAGGGUUUCUGGUGGUUUAACCUAGCGUUUUACUGCUAUCCGGUGGCUCGAUUCUCACUCAGUGGAUGUUUUG